This 305-nucleotide ribosomal RNA is filed under the name uncultured bacterium. RNAcentral's name for it is "bacterial SSU rRNA". It matches the Rfam family "Bacterial small subunit ribosomal RNA", at positions 338 to 640 of the family's 1533-position model. The record is from RNAcentral.
CCUACGGGACGCAGCAGUAAGGAAUAUUGGUCAAUGGACGCAAGUCUGAACCAGCCAUGCCGCGUGAAGGAUGAAGGUCCUCUGGAUUGUAAACUUCUUUUAUAGGGGGCGAAAAAAGGUCUUUCUAGAUCACUUGACAGUACCCUAUGAAUAAGCACCGGCUAACUCCGUGCCAGCAGCCGCGGUAAUACGGAGGGUGCGAGCGUUAAUCGGAAUUACUGGGCGUAAAGCGCUCGUAGGCGGUAUGUCAAGUCAAGGGUGAAAUCCCCGCGCUCAACGUGGGAACUGCCUUUGAAACUGGCAAA